Molecule: long non-coding RNA, 3798 nt
Filed under: Sus scrofa (pig)
Lineage: Eukaryota; Metazoa; Chordata; Mammalia; Artiodactyla; Suidae
Description: lncRNA (ENSSSCG00000056411.1)
Source: RNAcentral
GUACAAAUUUAUUGACUCCGAUCAAUCUUAGUCAGGAUUUAAGCAAAGUAAACAGACAACUGGAUACAAAUAAGCAAUGGAUUAACAUUAGGUAGAAGUCCUAUUUACUAAGAAUUUUCAGUCCAAAAGAGCUUAUUUCCUAAAUGAAACUGAACAACCAUUUCUCUGCUAAGGCAUAUGACAACAAAAUAUGCACACUUAUAAAACCACAUUUUUUUAAAGCAGUUAAGUAUGUAUUCAAUGAAAAUUCUGAAACAGUCUUGGACGAACGUCAAGAAGAAAUAAUCACCUUUUGAAAAUUAGUAUUAACCAAGUAUACCUUUGUGGAAAAUUUGGACAGUACGAAUAAAUGACUACAGCGCACUGAAUUCAAUUCUUUUAACGGAGUGCAGUAAAAUACUUUGGUUCCCAAACGGCUGUCUCUAAAUGGAAUUUUUUUAAAAACCUGACAUUGACUCAUGGUUUUCUCCUCCGGAAUCUAAAGACGACCACUGAGGUUCCUCCCGGGUCGUGUGGCCCACAUACCGGGAAACGCUGCUGGACACACCGAAAGCGAUGCAAACACCAAACUUCUUAAAGUGCUAAAGCCACAAGAGAAAAACCUAUUUGUACAACUUAAAAAAAAAGCCAGUGUUAAGGAACUUAUUAAAGAAUAUGUGUUAGUAACAUUUAAAUCAAGAAUGCUUUUCACAAGGAUUGCAAAAAACAUCGAGACAUCAGAAAUUGAUGGACUCGUAAUAGUCCAAUAUUAAUUAGUGCAAUUUAGAAAGAAACCUGUUAGGAAUGACAUCUAGUUCUUUUUGCAGUAAGAAAAUGGUCUUAUUUCCUAAAGUUCCAGAUUAUGGUUGUGUGUACACACACACACACACACACACACACACACACACACACGCAGUUUGAGGGGACAAAGGCCGAUUGGAUCAGUCCAUUCCUGACCCUCCCUCACCCCGUCAGGUUGGCGUGAAGUUACCUCUUUUCUCCCCAAAGGGCACAUUUGAUUUUGGUCUCAGUUUCUGCUCACUCUCAGCACCAGUGGGUGCUGUGUGUGGCUUGAUUAUCACCGAUUAAGUGCUGGGGCAUAUUUUUGAAGAGAAGGCUACAGUCUGUUCCCAAACAGCAAACUAAGAACCAUAUCCAUCCGCCCACAAAUGCAAACACCACCGUCGAAUUGUGAAGCUGUAUGUUCCGAAAUGCGUAAACCGUAAAUGCACACUAUCCACGAUUUUUCAAAGGUGCGUAUUCUAUGACUCUGUAAAUAUUUUUCCUAAAAAAUGCACGUGAUUUGUUACCUCCAUUGCCUACUUUGAUAAAAAACACUUUUGUCCCUCCGUCUUCCAAACGAAGAAAAUGACUCAAUAGCAAAGUUUUCAGAUUAACAAAUAUAUUAAAACAUCUGACAUUCUCUCCACAAUUGCAUAAAAAAAGCAGGCAUCUUGAAUACUUACAAGGAAUAAAGAGCUUUCUAUAUUUUCAAAAAUUAAUUACAAUCAGAAAAAAAAAUUUCAAGAAUAUCUUUAACCAGCUAACGCGUUUCAACAAGAAAAAGACCAACUUCUCUUAUACCAAGUAUAUGCCUACCGGCUGAGAUAAACAUUCUUAAAAAAACCUGUUUACUGAAUAAAGCAAUUUAGGUGUCUUUCAUUAUUUUACAUCUUACCAUUUAAAAUAGUUACAUGAGUGGAAGCAUAUUUUUUGACCACCAAAAUAAACUCUUUCAGCCUAAUGCUUUUAAGGUACAGUAUAAAAAGUAAUAGAAAAAUCCGAACUGCAUUAUAAAUGUUUUUGGUUCAAAAUUUUAUUUGAAAUCUUAUGUUCCUUGCCUAGACAAAAAUGUGAACUAACAAGACAAAACACUGGCAAUGUUUAAAAUCUAACAGGUAUGCAGAGCCUAUAUUUAGAUCAAAAAUAUUUUUUUUACUAAUUAGCUGUUAUCAAAAAAUCUUCAAAAAUGUAGCAUAAAGGUUCAAGUCCUGGGAAACGGAAUUUACCAUGCCAAGAUCCCGUGUGUCACAGAAUUAUGAGCUGAUCCUCUAACAGCCAUAAGUAAUGGUAACUCUGGGGAAACUGCCUUCGUUUGCAGUGAAAGCUACCAGGGCGUUCAGAGGAAGAAACACCACCGGACCCGGGAAUGACUGCCACGCACAAUGACCCAUCCUGCCGCUUCACUUAAGAUCCCAUGCUUUAGUUUUGUCUUUAAAAUGCAUAGAUUUCUUCAAGAAGCCAAAGCGAUGGCAACCAUCAAUAACUGCAACUUAAUUUUAUUUUACUUCCUCCAUCAAAUAUAAGAACAAAAAGAGCAAGCAACCAGGUCCGGGGACUUUUGAUAGUUUCCAAAUGAGAGAAUAAAAGGCAACAUUUCCUAUGUACUUUCCACAAUGUCCGAAGUCAACUCGAAUUUUAUAAAAGUGCUUGUGUUUCAAUAAAAAAGUAAGACUAUCUUUCUGACCGUUGGUAGGCAAUGUGGGUAACAGGAUGGAUGAGUAGAGUUCUUUCUUGCUAGAGCACCAGGUUAGGCACUCGGCAGAUUAUUUCUUAGUCACAGUAGUUGAUUUUACUUGAUUGCAAAAAAAAAAAAAAAAAAAAAAAAAAAAGAAAUUAAGGAUCAGGCGUUGCCACUGCUGUGGCACCGGUUCCAUCCCUGGCCUGGGAACUUCCGCUUGCCACAGGCAUGGCCAAAAAAUUAAGAAAGUUGGACACUUAACCCAUUGCUACUUGACAAGGAUGUGGGGGUUUCAGCAGUAGUUCUACUUUCCUGUAGCUAACCCCCUCCACCAGUAAAUAAUUUGUAUCCCUUUUGAAUCACCCCACUGAACGGCUUUGAAUUAUAACUUAGAGCAAAGAGGAAAAAAAAAAAAAAAAGAAGCCCCAACCCUCUGGGUCAAAAUAAGUAGCAAAAACUAAUAUGGGACCCUUGAUAGUGCUUUAAGACAUAUUUACGAAAUUUUAAGCAGGGACUUCAAGCAGGAUGGUUUCAAGACGGACACUUUACCAGGAUAAACUCUAAAAACGUCGAAGAGAAAUCCCAAGACCAAGAGGCAGGAGAACUGACCCCUGUGUACAUUGUUCUUGAAAAGCGCACGGAGAGUGCUCUGCGGCCCCUCCCCGGCUUCAAGUCUCUGGAAGUAAACAGCAAUUCGGGAUUUAGAGCAGCUGGACUCACUGGGGCGGGGGGGGGCGGCUCGGGAUCCAUGAAAAUAUGCGUCCUGACCUUAUUUGUUAUGCUCAUGGUGUUAAAUGCAAAACGAGUGCCCUAUGGUACACUUGUCCCCAAUACAGCCAGCGAUUCGAUCUGUGACAGCACAAGCCAGGGGAAGGCAGAGGCGCACAGCCCUGCCUUGUGGGUCUGACUCCAGAGCUGGGACGGGGCACUUUGGGUUCCUGGGCCUGGGGCUGCAAAGCUUUGGUGACUGGCCUAGCGGGCUUCCAGAAAUCCUACUGUUCUCAUUUCCCAAGUCUUCCCUCACUAACUAUAUGAAGUAUCCCAAGAGCAAGUCUUUUUGUUAUUCUAUAAAAAUCGCAGUAUUACUAUUGCUGAUUUAAAUUUCUCACAAUUUUCAUACAAAAAAAGUUCUACAUGAUCACAAAAUACCAAAUAUUUAUCAAGUGUCAGGAUAACUUAUUAAAGUUGAGGUUAAUUCUUUUUUUUUUAUUGCUGAAGUAUUCUAGGAUCUUAAUACUGCAAACUACUCACUCCCCUUUGUUCUGAUACGUUUUGGACUUAAGAGCUAAGAUUUAUCUAGAACUUGGGUGUCUUGAUCAAAAGAAGAAAUACUUGAAUAGUGUUUCACGAAUUGCAAA